UAGGGAAUCUUCGGCAAUGGACGAAAGUCUGACCGAGCAACCCCGCGUGAGUGAAGAAGGUUUUCGGAUCGUAAAACUCUGUUGUUAGAGAAGAACAAGGACGUCAGUAACUGAACGUCCCCUGACGGUAUCUAACCAGAAAGCCACGGCUAACUACGUGCCAGCAGCCGCGGUAAUACGUAGGUGGCAAGCGUUGUCCGGAUUUAUUGGGCGUAAAGCGAGCGCAGGCGGUUUCUUAAGGCUGAUGUGAAAGCCCCCGGCUCAACCGGGGAAGGUCAUUGGGAACUGGGAGACUUGAGUGCAGAAGGGGAGAGUGGAAUUCCAAGUGUAGGGGUGAAAUGCGUAGAUAAAGGGGGGAACACCAGUGGCGAAGGCGGCUCUCUGGUCUGUAGCUGACGCUGAGGCUCGAAAGCGUGGGGAGCAAACAGG
Molecule: ribosomal RNA, 429 nt
Filed under: Chloroflexota bacterium
Lineage: Bacteria; Bacillati; Chloroflexota
Description: Chloroflexi bacterium partial 16S ribosomal RNA
Rfam family: Bacterial small subunit ribosomal RNA
Source: RNAcentral